RNAcentral lists this long non-coding RNA (371 nucleotides) under Brachypodium distachyon (stiff brome). RNAcentral describes it as "long non-coding RNA (BDIS_LNC004208)". Lineage: Eukaryota; Viridiplantae; Streptophyta; Magnoliopsida; Poales; Poaceae. The record is from RNAcentral.
CGAAGGCUACCAUGAAGUAAACUACUCAAGUAAACACAAGUGAAAGAAGUAAGGUUAUAGUUAACACAAGUGAAAGAAGUAAUGUUAUAGUUAACCCAAGCACGCGGAUAUAUGGCGAUGUUCAACUUACGAAAUGGACUACUUUGUAUGCUCAGUUAUGUAGUGUUUUUCCAGAUUGUACUUUACGAGGGAGUUUUGCAUGCUGCGGCAAGGGUUAAGCACAUUGGCCUUCAAAAGAAAAAAAAAGGUUAAGCACAUGCCUGUCAGCCAAGAUUGUUUUAAUUAUGCAAUUUGUUCCUUUGUCCAUGUACAUCCACCUCUAUAACUUUUGGAAUGCAGUACUUACGUAGCAAAAUAAAUUCUGCACACCG